UGCUGUCCCACAGUCCCAGUUCCAUUUCAGUGUCCCCAUUUUCCCCAUUCCAUGCCCAGCAUUCCCAGUGCUGUCCCACGGUCCCAGUUCCAUUUCAGUGUCCCCAACACUGUCCCCAUUUUCCCCAUUCCACGCCCAGUGUUCCCAGUGCUGUCCCACAGUCCCAGUUCCAUCUCAGUGUCCCCAUUUUCCCCAUUCCUGCCCAGCGUUCCCAGUGUUCCCAGUGCUGUCCCACGGUCCCAGUUCCAUUUCAGUGUCCCCAUUUUCCCCAUUCCAUGCCCAGCGUUCCCAGUGUCCCAGUUCCAUUUCAGUGUCCCCAUUUUCCCCAUUCCAUGCCCAGCGUUCCCAGUGUCCCAGUUCCAUUCCAGUGUCCCCAUUUUCCCCAUUCCACGCCCAGCAUUCCCAGUGUCCCAGUUCCAUUUCAGUGUCCCCAUUUUCCCAUUCCAUGCCCAGCGUUCCCAGUGUCCCUGCUGUCCCACAGUCCCAGUUCCAUUUCAGUGUCCCCAACCCUGUCCCCAUUUUCCCCAUUGCAUCCCAGUGUUCCCAGUGUCCCAGUUCCAUUUCAGUGUCCCCAUUUUCCCCAUUCCACGCCCAGCGUUCCCAGUGCUGUCCCACGGUCCCAGUUCCAUUUCAGUGUCCCCAUUUUCCCCAUUCCACACCCAGCGUUCCCAGUGUCCCAGUUCCAUUUCAGUGUCCCCAUUUUCCCCAUUCCUGCCCAGCGUUCCCAGUGUCCCUGCUGUCCCACAGUCCCAGUUCCAUUCCAGUGUCCCCAUUUUCCCCAUUCCAUGCCCAGUGUCCCUGCUGCCCCAGUGUCCCAGUUCCAUUUCAGUGUCCCCACACCCCUGUCCCCAUUUUCCCCAUUCCACACCCAGCGUUCCCAGUGUCUGUGCUGUCCCAGUGUCCCAGUUCCAUUCCAGUGUCCCCAUCGCUGUCCCCAUUUUCCCCAAUCCACACCCAGUGUUCCCAGUGCUGUCCCACGGUCCCAGUUCCAUCUCAGUGUCCCCAUUUUCCCCAUUCCCGCCCAGCAUUCCCAGUAUUCCCAGUGCUGUCCCACAGUCCCAGUUCCAUUUCAGUGUCCCCAUUUUCCCCAUUCCUGCCCAGCGUUCCCAGUGUCCCUGCUGUCCCACAGUCCCAGUUCNNNNNNNNNNNNNNNNNNNNNNNN
This 1162-nucleotide long non-coding RNA is filed under the name Zonotrichia albicollis (white-throated sparrow). RNAcentral's name for it is "lncRNA (ENSZALG00000000504.1)". The record is from RNAcentral. Lineage: Eukaryota; Metazoa; Chordata; Aves; Passeriformes; Passerellidae.